UGGGGAAUAUUGCACAAUGGGCGAAAGCCUGAUGCAGCAACGCCGCGUGGGUGAUGAAGGUUCUUGGAUUGUAAAGCCCUUUCGGCUAGGAAGAAGGGCGGUAUAGUUAAUACCUAUAUCGUUUGACGGUACUAGAAGAAGAAGCACCGGCUAACUCCGUGCCAGCAGCCGCGGUAAUACGGAGGGUGCAAGCGUUGUUCGGAUUGAUUGGGCGUAAAGCGCACGUAGGCGGGUCUGUAAGUCGGAUGUGAAAGCCCAGGGCUUAACCUUGGAAUUGCAUCCGAAACUACAAAUCUUGAAUACUCGAGAGGUCAGUGGAAUUCCUGGUGUAGGAGUGAAAUCCGUAGAUAUCAGGAGGAACACCGGAGGCGAAGGCGACUGGCUGGUGAUGUAUUGACGC
Molecule: ribosomal RNA, 400 nt
Filed under: uncultured bacterium
Lineage: Bacteria
Description: bacterial SSU rRNA
Rfam family: Bacterial small subunit ribosomal RNA
Source: RNAcentral